GAUGAACGCUGGCGGCGUGCCUAAUACAUGCAAGUCGAGCGAAUGGAUUAAGAGCUUGCUCUUAUGAAGUUAGCGGCGGACGGGUGAGUAACACGUGGGUAACCUGCCCAUAAGACUGGGAUAACUCCGGGAAACCGGGGCUAAUACCGGAUAACAUUUUGAACCGCAUGGUUCGAAAUUGAAAGGCGGCAUCGGCUGUCAAUUAUGGAUGGACCAGCGUCGCAUUAGCUAGUUGGUGAGGUAACGGCUCACCAAGGCAACGAUGCGUAGCCGACCUGAGAGGGUGAUCGGCCACACUGGGACUGAGACACGGCCCAGACUCCUACGGGAGGCAGCAGUAGGGAAUCUUCCGCAAUGGACGAAAGUCUGACGGAGCAACGCCGCGUGAGUGAUGAAGGCUUUCGGGUCGUAAAACUCUGUUGUUAGGGAAGAACAAGUGCUAGUUGAAUAAGCUGACACCUUGACGGUACCUAACCAGAAAGCCACGGCUAACUACGUGCCAGCCGCCGCCGUAA
This 515-nucleotide ribosomal RNA is filed under the name uncultured bacterium. Its description in RNAcentral is "partial 16S ribosomal RNA". It matches the Rfam family "Bacterial small subunit ribosomal RNA", at positions 28 to 523 of the family's 1533-position model. The record is from RNAcentral.